GACGAACGCUGGCGGCGUGCUUAACACACGCAAGUCGAACGGAAAGGCCCUGCUUUUGUGGGGUGCUCGAGUGGCGAACGGGUGAGUAACACGUGAGUAACCUGCCCUUGACUUUGGGAUAACUUCAGGAAACUGGGGCUAAUACCGGAUAUGAGCUCCUGCUGCAUGGUGGGGGUUGGAAAGUUUCGGCGGUUGGGGAUGGACUCGCGGCUUAUCAGCUUGUUGGUGGGGUAGUGGCUUACCAAGGCUUUGACGGGUAGCCGGCCUGAGAGGGUGACCGGCCACAUUGGGACUGAGAUACGGCCCAGACUCCUACGGGAGGCAGCAGUGGGGAAUAUUGCACAAUGGGCGGAAGCCUGAUGCAGCAACGCCGCGUGCGGGAUGACGGCCUUCGGGUUGUAAACCGCUUUCGCCUGUGACGAAGCGUGAGUGACGGUAAUGGGUAAAGAAGCAACGGCUAACUACGUG
This 468-nucleotide ribosomal RNA is filed under the name uncultured bacterium. RNAcentral's name for it is "partial 16S ribosomal RNA". It matches the Rfam family "Bacterial small subunit ribosomal RNA", at positions 28 to 507 of the family's 1533-position model. The record is from RNAcentral.